This 194-nucleotide small nuclear RNA is filed under the name Castor canadensis (American beaver). Its description in RNAcentral is "U2 spliceosomal RNA (ENSCCNG00000013012.1)". It matches the Rfam family "U2 spliceosomal RNA". From Rfam's summary of the family: U2 is a small nuclear RNA (snRNA) component of the spliceosome (involved in pre-mRNA splicing). Complementary binding between U2 snRNA (in an area lying towards the 5' end but 3' to hairpin I) and the branchpoint sequence (BPS) of the intron results the bulging out of an unpaired adenosine, on the BPS, which initiates a nucleophilic attack at the intronic 5' splice site, thus starting the first of two transesterification reactions that mediate splicing. The record is from Rfam by way of RNAcentral. Lineage: Eukaryota; Metazoa; Chordata; Mammalia; Rodentia; Castoridae.
CUCUAAUCAAGAGCCCCUUUUGGCUAAGGUCAAGUGUAGUAUCUAUUCUUAUCAGUUUAACAUCUGAUACAUCCUCCAUCCAAGGACAAUAUAUUAAAUGGACUGUUGGAGCAGGGAGAUGGAACAGAAGCUCGCUCCGCCCACUCCACACAUUGACCUGGUAUUAUAGCGGCAGCAGGAAUAGUGCACCCCUU